RNAcentral lists this long non-coding RNA (4144 nucleotides) under Medicago truncatula (barrel medic). RNAcentral's name for it is "long non-coding RNA (MTRU_LNC003038)". The record is from RNAcentral. Lineage: Eukaryota; Viridiplantae; Streptophyta; Magnoliopsida; Fabales; Fabaceae.
CAUUGCAUCAAAAGAAGGUGCAGAUAACAGUUUCAGAUAACCAAGCCAUACAACAACUCUACACCAAACAAACCAAUCAAGACCGUGAUGAACUUGGCUUCUUUGAUUAUAGUGGAGACUUCUUUGAGUCAAGUUCUGGUCUUCUGAACUCUUUGUCCCUUGGUUUUGCUUUCGUGGCUCUGAUGAAUUUGGCUUUCUAAUUAAUACAUCAUUUGAUUAGGGACUCACUUUUACGUAAGUUAAAUAAUUAAUUUGUGUACUUUACUGCAUGUAUCAUUUUCGGUUGAUGUUAAAUAGUUUGUUAUGCGGUAUCAUGAUAUAUGAUUAUUGUAAUUGAUUACAUAUCCAUUGGAGUGCAAAAGUCACUACAGUAUUGUUAGGAUAUUUAGCAACAUUUGAAAAAUGAUACUAAACCGUACUAAAAUGUAAUGAAUUUGAUGUAGUAACAUCUUAGCCACCGUAAGAUAAAACCUACGUUACUAAAAGGUUCUAUUGGAAUGUUAAAUUGUGUUUUUAACCGUAUACUACACCAGGUCUACGUUUCUAGGUAUGGUUUUUGUGUUAAAUCGGAACUAAAAUUGUUUUUAGUGAAAUCACAACUAAAAUUGCUUAAACUUGCAAGUUUUCACAAACAAAUUUACUUUCAGAAUCCCAAAAUAAAAUUGGGUUAUCCCUCUCGUUUCUAUGGAAGGGGGCUCUAUAACUCCAGAAUUUGAUCAGGAGGUACAUAAAGUCUGAUAAAAAAUUAUUUCAUAAAAAAAUCGAACUUGGAUUCUCCCUAAGAAUUCUUCCUUAAGUGGUCGUAUUAACUUAUUUGAGCUCAAUCAUUUCACUAAAGAAGCCCAAUUUUAGUUUUGCUACAUUUAGAAAAACUUCAUCAAGAAACACGACAAUAAAAAGAAACAUUUCAAUUCCAUGAGAAGAAAGAGCGGGGUUCUUUUAAAUUCAAACGUGACCAAAACACCACGCCAUUCCAGUUUCCACAUCGAUGUAACGUGAAUUCGAGUCUAGCACAAUUGGAAUACGAAGUUGAUUCAAUCUCAAAUGAGAUUGAAUCUACUUUUUUUGCGGAUAGGGAUGGCAAUUGGACCUAGAUUCAAUGGAUACCCGCAAAAAAUACCCACAAUGGGUAGGGUAAAACCCCACUUUUAUGGGUCCGGGUACGGGUAAUACCCACAAAAUUAAAUGGGUAUGGACACGGGUAAGGGUACUAUACUGCCCAGACCCGCAGACCCGCAUAUACAUAUUUAUAUAAUAUCAUAAAUUAUUUAUUUAUUUUUUAUGUAUAAUUAAUUAAUUAAUUUAGCUAUUUAAGCCUAAACCUAAACUUAAACCAAACAACUACUUAAUACAAUAACAACUUCAUCAUGCCGGUGUAUAAUUUUUUAGGAAUAUUUCGGAUGUUUUCUAUUUGACUAAAUACCACGAUUCAUAUUAUUUUAUGAGUUAAUUUUAAAAAAUAAUUGGGAUCGUAGUUUUAUUUCAUUUGUGAUGUUUUUUUUGGUUUUUCAUAGUUAAAGUGCGGGUAUGGGCACUUAAGUACCCAUAGGGUAUGAGGAAGGGGACUAAAGUUGUUGCCCACGAGGGUACGGGCACGGGUACGGGUAUUUUUUAUAAAUGCGGUUAUGGGGACGGGCAUUGUAGUACCCUACCCAUUGGGUACCCAUUGCCAUCCCUAUUUGCAGAUGAACUUUGUAUAAUUUUCUAAAUAUGUACGUAAAUACUCUUUUAAAAAUUUAAAAGUUUAAGUGUAAUUAAACAAAUUUUGAUUUUACAAUAACUAAAAGUAUGCGUUGGUCCUUGUUAAAUUAAAAUUUGUUCAAUUAUUGUUAAACUUUUAUAUUUUUAAAUGAAUUUUUACAGAUAUUUUAAGAACAUAACAAUAAUUAUAAUUUAACGUGUAUCGAAUUAAAUAUGAAAUAUUUUAAAAGCCAAUAUUUCAAGAUAAAGCUAUUGUAAAUUCACACCUAAAAAUGAAAUUUUGAGCUAACUUGCGGAGAAACUUUCUUAUAAUAUUUUAAACAAGUAUGUAGAAAAUCAAUAAAAAAACUAAUCAUAAUUAAACAAAUUUUAAUUCCUCGCAACAUAUAUUCAUGAUAUUAUUUCAUAGAAUAUAAUUGAUUGAGUUUUGUUUAUAAUCAAACUUCUUUAUUUAAAAAGAAAAGAGAAGUUUUCUAUUCUAAACCCUAUUAACAAAAAUGCUAUGUUUGUCCGAGUUCGGUCUGUAAUCAGGCCAACAAUUGCUUCCACCAAUUAUCGAAAUAGAUUUUUAGCUAUAGUGAACUUUGUAGGAUUAGGAGGCCAACAUUAAUUAAUUAGUCUUGUUAACGAGUGUUUCCGAAGCACUCUUCAAGCAUACCAAAUUUAUCAAUUAUUCUUUUAAAAAGUCAACUAUUACAAUUUCCAAUGAACUUAAUACACAACUUUUCAUAAAGAACUUACUAAUUAAAGUGUUUAAAGAGUGUACUGGGACGCUCGUUAACAUUAUAUCUUAUCUCUCAAAUAUAAAAGUAAAACGAUAGUAUUUUUUAGGGGUAAAAGCAAAACAAUAUUUUCUGAAACAGAAAAACAAUAUUGUUUACAAUCAAAUUAUCCAUUUUUAGAAGUAGUUAUUGGUUGAUUCAGUUUAACCUUUGGAUUUGCUUCUGUCGUCUUAACGGCACAAGAGGCAAACGUUCAUAUUGUCUGUUCGUUACUACAUAGUACUUCUGCUUUUCUUUGGACCAAACUUGGUAGACUUCUUGUAUGUAUGUUUCAAGGAUCACUUGUUCUUUAACAUAUUUGAAAUCAUAUACUAAUGUAGAACAAUGUCAAAAAAUAUCAGAAUUGUUAACCACUAAUUAUUGCAUAUGAAAUAACAAUUACAAAUUAAACCGUCAUCAUCAAAAUAUAAAAUUGAAUUAUAAAGACUUUUGAUGUCUAAACUACCAAUUUCAAAGUUUUUAUAAACCCUCCAAUUCUUGCCCUUUUUUCAUUUCAUAAGCAUAUACACUCACAAUUUUGUCUAUGCAUUAAUGAACAUGAUGAAGUUAUAUCAAUUUGAAUUUCUCUUAUCCCUCUUCCUUAUCAUUGUCAAUACAACCUUUUCGGGUUAUGUCCCUCAAUUGUCUCCUUCUCUUGGCAAACAAAUAGGGAAGACAUUAGACAAGAUCAAACAAUCUCCUCCAUCAGAUGAACAACCAACAAAAGAGAUUGAAGGCCUAUCUCAAAUCAAACAACAUUUGGACACUUUCGGCUACUUCCAACGAUCUCCGCUGGACUUUGAUGACGUUCUAGACAAGGAAACAAUAUCCGCUAUUAAGGCUUACCAACAAUUUUUCAAUCUCCAGGUUACUGGUCACCUAGACUCCGAGACUUUACAACUACUCUUGUUACCAAGAUGUGGUGUUCCUGAUAUGAAUUUUGAGUACAGCUUCACUGACGCAAUUAAUAUAUCAUUACCGAAAGGAAACAAGUGGUUUCCCAAGGGCACGAAAAAGCUUACGUAUGGUUUUCAUCCGGAGAGCCAAAUCUCAACUGACAUGAUCAAAGUGUUUAGAAAUGCCUUCACACGAUGGUCGCAGACCACUAGGGUCCUAAAUUUUAGCGAGACAACAUCAUACGAUGAUGCUGACAUUAAGAUUGGAUUCUACAAUAUUACCUACAAUGAUGCAGUUGAUGAUGUUGUUGUGGGUGACUCUUUCAUCAGCUUGAAACUUGAUUCGAAGGCGAAGUCAGGUUUGAUACGUCUAGACGCUUCAAAGUACUGGGUGUUGCCAACUACCUACUUUUGGUACUGGGAAUUUCACCAAUUCGACUUGGAGACUGUUGCCAUGCAUCAAAUAGGUCAUCUACUAGGACUUGAUCACUCGUCUGAUGAGGAGUCUAUUAUGUACCCAACAAUAGUGCCAUUGCAACAAAGGAAGGUGCAGAUAACAGUUUCAGAUAACUUAGCUAUUCAACAACUCUACACCAACUCUGUCAAAGCCAAUCCAGACUCUGAUCAUAGUGGGUGCUUCAAACUUUUUGAGUCUACUUUUGAUACCUCUUUGUCCCUUGGUUUUGCUUUCGUGGCUCUGAUGAACUUGGCUUUCUAAUUAAUACAUCAUUUGAUUAGGGACUCACUUUUACGUAAGUUAAAUAAUUAAUUUGUGUACUUUACUUC